AGUACCUCCCCUUUUGCUUUCUGUUGUAGUUUUUGUUUUUAUAUAUAUUGUUGAUUCACCAUAAGGGUCAAUUAUGUCUCAAAAUAACCUUCAAUCCGAUUCAUUGCAAAACCCCAGAGUGACUUGGGAGGGUUGCAGCGUCUUGCUCGACAUCAACGACGGCGACCGGCUGGUAUUUGCUCGUCUCACAUCAGGCUCCACUUUGAAAAUUGGAAACAAAAAUUUUUCUUUGCGGCC
This 237-nucleotide unclassified non-coding RNA is filed under the name Hevea brasiliensis (rubber tree). Lineage: Eukaryota; Viridiplantae; Streptophyta; Magnoliopsida; Malpighiales; Euphorbiaceae. The record is from RNAcentral.